Molecule: long non-coding RNA, 652 nt
Organism: Momordica charantia (bitter melon)
Lineage: Eukaryota; Viridiplantae; Streptophyta; Magnoliopsida; Cucurbitales; Cucurbitaceae
Source: RefSeq, a predicted model, not a curated record
GCGUCAGUGUUUUGCUUUUCCGUCCUUUUUAUUUAUUCGAUUAAAACCUUCCCUUCCCCCACUCUCCAAGAAUCGCCAUUCAAAACCAAAAUCGCAACUAACACAGAAAUAAUAAGAGAUCGAUCCAGCUUCCAUUUUCUCGGCUUCUUCAGUUCUUCAUUCUGAUACCGAUAUGGAUGGAAGCAUGAAACUCCAUGGAGUGGGGAAGUUUUGGUGCAGUAAUAUUUCUUCUUCAAGAAUGGUUGUCUUUCCAAAAAGACGACCACGACCUUCAAGCUGUAAAGAUCAAAAUCAUGUGGAGUGAUUUAUGAGUCGUCCCUCGUACAAAACUCGGAUGGAUCAGAAACCAAAAACCCUAAAAGAAGAACAAAGGGCAAUUAUAAUAACAAACUAAUGAAUAAUAUUGCAUUACAAACAGAUGCAUUUUAAUUUCCUUUGAUUAUUAUUUUAUUGCCCUACUUCUCUUUUAGAAUAUAUGAUAUGAUAUAUAAAACUUAGACAGAAGAAUAGCCAAUCCGACGUUGGUUGUACUUGGAGGAGUUCCCCUUAACCAUACUUCAGAAACAAAUCUCUCUCUAUUUUAUUUUUCAUUAAUGUACUCUUGGGGUUUCUCCCCUUAAUAUUAAUUAAUAUGUGUUCUUGUAUUUUCCAA